GAUGAAGAACGUAGCGAAAUGCGAUACUUGGUGUGAAUUGCAGAAUCCCGUGAACCAUCGAGUCUUUGAACGCAAGUUGCGCCUCAAGCCAUUAGGUUGAGGGCACGUCUGCCUGGGCGUCACAUAUCGUUGCCUGAUGCCAGUUUCCUCGUGAUGGGUGACUGUGCAGGGCGAAUGAUGGCUUCCCGUGAGCAUUGUUGCCUCAUGGUUGGUUGAAAAUUGAGUCCUUGGUAGGGAGCGCCGUGAUAAAUGGUGGUUGAGUGACGAACGAGACCCAAUCAUGUGAGACCCCUACCGAAUUUGGCCUCCAUGACCCACAUGCGUCUUUGGAACGCUCAUGACGAGACCUCAGGUCAGGCGGGGCUACCCGCUGAGUUUAAGCAUAUCAAUAAGCGGAGGA
This 400-nucleotide unclassified non-coding RNA is filed under the name soil metagenome. Its description in RNAcentral is "partial contains 5.8S ribosomal RNA, internal transcribed spacer 2, and large subunit ribosomal RNA". The stretch from base 1 to 122 matches the Rfam family "5.8S ribosomal RNA", at positions 35 to 154 of the family's 154-position model. The record is from RNAcentral.